Non-coding RNA from Triticum aestivum (bread wheat), 115 nucleotides. Lineage: Eukaryota; Viridiplantae; Streptophyta; Magnoliopsida; Poales; Poaceae. The record is from Rfam.
UUAGUACUCCCUCCGUUUCAAAUUACUCGUCACUGAAAUGGAUGUAUCUAGAACUAAAAUACAUCUAGAUACAUCCAUACGUGCGACAAGUAAUUCGAAACGGAGGAAGUAGCAG